CAGGAUGUAGGAAAGUGGACUACUCCGCGUGCCUCGGGCGCACGAGAUCGCUGGUUCGAAUCCAGCCAUCCUGAC
RNAcentral lists this transfer RNA (75 nucleotides) under Anatilimnocola aggregata. RNAcentral describes it as "Planctomycetes bacterium ETA_A8 tRNA-Pro". It matches the Rfam family "tRNA". From Rfam's summary of the family: Transfer RNA (tRNA) molecules are approximately 80 nucleotides in length. Their secondary structure includes four short double-helical elements and three loops (D, anti-codon, and T loops). The record is from RNAcentral. Lineage: Bacteria; Pseudomonadati; Planctomycetota; Planctomycetia; Pirellulales; Pirellulaceae.